UACGAAGGGGGCUAGCGUUGUUCGGAUUUACUGGGCGUAAAGCGCGCGUAGGCGGACCUGCAAGUCGGGGGUGAAAGCCCGAGGCUCAACCUCGGAACUGCCUUCGAUACUGCGGGUCUCGAGUCCGGGAGAGGUGAGUGGAAUUCCUAGUGUAGAGGUGAAAUUCGUAGAUAUUAGGAAGAACACCAGUGGCGAAGGCGGCUCACUGGCCCGGUACUGACGCUGCGGCGCGAAAGCGUGGGGAGCAAACAGG
RNAcentral lists this ribosomal RNA (253 nucleotides) under uncultured bacterium. Its description in RNAcentral is "partial 16S ribosomal RNA". It matches the Rfam family "Bacterial small subunit ribosomal RNA", at positions 524 to 776 of the family's 1533-position model. The record is from RNAcentral.